Molecule: ribosomal RNA, 1404 nt
Filed under: Curtobacterium sp.
Lineage: Bacteria; Bacillati; Actinomycetota; Actinomycetes; Micrococcales; Microbacteriaceae
Description: bacterial SSU rRNA
Rfam family: Bacterial small subunit ribosomal RNA
Source: RNAcentral
UGCUACCAUGCAGUCGAACGAUGAUGCCCAGCUUGCUGGGUGGAUUAGUGGCGAACGGGUGAGUAACACGUGAGUAACCUGCCCCUGACUCUGGGAUAAGCGUUGGAAACGACGUCUAAUACUGGAUAUGAUCACUGGCCGCAUGGUCUGGUGGUGGAAAGAUUUUUUGGUUGGGGAUGGACUCGCGGCCUAUCAGCUUGUUGGUGAGGUAAUGGCUCACCAAGGCGACGACGGGUAGCCGGCCUGAGAGGGUGACCGGCCACACUGGGACUGAGACACGGCCCAGACUCCUACGGGAGGCAGCAGUGGGGAAUAUUGCACAAUGGGCGAAAGCCUGAUGCAGCAACGCCGCGUGAGGGAUGACGGCCUUCGGGUUGUAAACCUCUUUUAGUAGGGAAGAAGCGAAAGUGACGGUACCUGCAGAAAAAGCACCGGCUAACUACGUGCCAGCAGCCGCGGUAAUACGUAGGGUGCAAGCGUUGUCCGGAAUUAUUGGGCGUAAAGAGCUCGUAGGCGGUUUGUCGCGUCUGCUGUGAAAUCCCGAGGCUCAACCUCGGGCUUGCAGUGGGUACGGGCAGACUAGAGUGCGGUAGGGGAGAUUGGAAUUCCUGGUGUAGCGGUGGAAUGCGCAGAUAUCAGGAGGAACACCGAUGGCGAAGGCAGAUCUCUGGGCCGUAACUGACGCUGAGGAGCGAAAGCAUGGGGAGCGAACAGGAUUAGAUACCCUGGUAGUCCAUGCCGUAAACGUUGGGCGCUAGAUGUAGGGACCUUUCCACGGUUUCUGUGUCGUAGCUAACGCAUUAAGCGCCCCGCCUGGGGAGUACGGCCGCAAGGCUAAAACUCAAAGGAAUUGACGGGGGCCCGCACAAGCGGCGGAGCAUGCGGAUUAAUUCGAUGCAACGCGAAGAACCUUACCAAGGCUUGACAUACACCGGAAACGGCCAGAGAUGGUCGCCCCCUUGUGGUCGGUGUACAGGUGGUGCAUGGUUGUCGUCAGCUCGUGUCGUGAGAUGUUGGGUUAAGUCCCGCAACGAGCGCAACCCUCGUUCUAUGUUGCCAGCGGGUUAUGCCGGGGACUCAUAGGAGACUGCCGGGGUCAACUCGGAGGAAGGUGGGGAUGACGUCAAAUCAUCAUGCCCCUUAUGUCUUGGGCUUCACGCAUGCUACAAUGGCCGGUACAAAGGGCUGCGAUACCGUAAGGUGGAGCGAAUCCCAAAAAGCCGGUCUCAGUUCGGAUUGAGGUCUGCAACUCGACCUCAUGAAGUCGGAGUCGCUAGUAAUCGCAGAUCAGCAACGCUGCGGUGAAUACGUUCCCGGGCCUUGUACACACCGCCCGUCAAGUCAUGAAAGUCGGUAACACCCGAAGCCGGUGGCCUAACCCUUGUGGAAGGAGCCGUCGAAGUG